Molecule: long non-coding RNA, 372 nt
Filed under: Hordeum vulgare
Lineage: Eukaryota; Viridiplantae; Streptophyta; Magnoliopsida; Poales; Poaceae
Description: long non-coding RNA (HVUL_LNC013359)
Source: RNAcentral
CUUCUUUUUUAUUUCUUUUUUCCAGUUUUCUUGAACCAGAUGUACUCGGUUAAGACUUGAGCUUGUUUUAAUAUAUGGCCGUAUGCAUCUUUCGAUGCAGAGGCCGGGGCUAAGCCUCCUUUUCUAAAAAAAUUCAAAGCUAGGUACCUUCAUAAAUCAUAUUUAUCUUGGCGGAUAGUACAUUAACUUUGAGAUAGCUGAAAAAGACACCUACACAAAACACGUUCGAUAUAUUUUACGUGAUUUGUGCAUCUCAUACUUCAUGCAUAUGCCUCACAAUUCCACUAGCAUUUUAUUUAAUACAGUAACAUUACGUCUAUCUUUGGUUGUAAUUUGACUAUCACGUACUAUGCACGUAUAACUUACCAGUAC